AUACUCAUUUUGGCAGCACAUUUAGUAAAACUGGAAUGAUACAGAGAAGAUUAGCAUGGCCCCUGCAUAAGGAUGACACAAAGCAUUCCAUAUUUAA
RNAcentral lists this small nuclear RNA (97 nucleotides) under Saimiri boliviensis boliviensis (Bolivian squirrel monkey). Lineage: Eukaryota; Metazoa; Chordata; Mammalia; Primates; Cebidae. The record is from RNAcentral.